AUGCCUUGGGCGCGUUUUCUCUUCAGCGUCUCCUUCGCCAUUUUCUCGAGGGAAGCGCGUCUGCUCUGCUGAAUUCCUGUUCUGAAAAGGAGGAGGAGGAGGAAACUUCGCGUGAUGAAGGGAGAAGAGAAGAUGUCGGAAAAGUCAUGAAGCGUGGCAGCGAAAGGAAAGAGAAGAAAAAGAGGCAAGGCAGCAGUGGAAAAAGAUGGGUUGCCUGCAUGGGCUCUGCUUUAUUCCUUAAUGCCGAAUGCUACAUCUGCCUAAGUCCACUUCCAUCCACUGGAAACGCUUCUUAGCAGCAAGGAGCAAAGGGAAUGGUGGGAAAUACCUAGCUAUCUCUCUAAAUCGGUAGGACCGUUAGUCCUUUCCAGAGGUGUAGCCUGCCUUCUCCAAAGGUGGAUUUCAGCUCAAACAGCUGGUUGAAAAGUCUCUUUUCCUCUCCUCACACCCAUAACCCUGGCAACCUCCCAGAGAACAGUCUAUUCCUCAAUGGUCAGGGAGAUUGCACUUUCCCACGGCCUCUCCAAAAAUAGAAACCCUAGCAUUUAGUUAUCUCUUAAUGCAGUUUUGGGGUGUGUGUUUGUGUGUGUCAGUCCUUAAAAUUCAAUUGUGCAAAGAUUUAAGCCUGUCCCCCGCCAUGCAUAUAGGCUGGGAGCCCCAAUGGCAGGAGACUAUGUGGGCUGAGCCCCUGCAAGAGGGGCCAAAACCCAAAGCCAGUUGAAUCAUUUACAUUGACAAACACUGGCACGUAUUUGUAUGCAUUUUGGAAAUUUGCAGCAGUUUGUAACGUUUAGAGAGGUGUUUUAAAGAAAAGCACUUAUACACUCAUGAGCAUUCCCUUAGAGCAGGCUCAUGGUUCUUUCCUUUUCUGGAGGCAGAAAUGUUCUUAGCAGAUGUACAAUCCCCCCGAAGGCUUCAGGCCUCCUCCUGACUGUUGAAAUGCUCCUGGGGAGACUGUAAGCAGCACCUCCUCCGCUCCCAGUCAGCAAAAGGGGAUGGCAAGGUGUGCUUCAUGGCGCAACUUGCAGCUGCAGCUUAAAUUGCCUUAAAAGUGCCCUUUCAUAGGGCAAGACUGACAGCACAACCAAUGUUGGUGGUUUUUCUCCUGCAUAUUCCUGCCUUGCCGAGGGCUGGGCUGCAUGACCCUUGGGGUCCCUUCCAGAUAUAGAUAUAUAUGCAGGAUUAUAUGAUUCUUUGGAAUGUGCUUUAGAAAGAGGAAACAAAUAGCAUUCCUUUAAGUUACGGGAUGCAGGUGGCGCUGUGGGUUAAACCACAGAGCCUAGGACUUGGCGAUCAGAAGGUUGGCGGUUUGAAUCCC
Molecule: non-coding RNA, 1318 nt
Organism: Podarcis muralis (Common wall lizard)
Lineage: Eukaryota; Metazoa; Chordata; Lepidosauria; Squamata; Lacertidae
Source: RefSeq, a predicted model, not a curated record